GUGGGGAAUAUUGGACAAUGGGCGCAAGCCUGAUCCAGCCAUGCCGCGUGUGUGAAGAAGGCCUUUUGGUUGUAAAGCACUUUAAGCGAGGAGGAGGCUCCUUUAGUUAAUACCUAAAGAGAGUGGACGUUACUCGCAGAAUAAGCACCGGCUAACUCUGUGCCAGCAGCCGCGGUAAUACAGAGGGUGCGAGCGUUAAUCGGAUUUACUGGGCGUAAAGCGUGCGUAGGCGGCUUUUUAAGUCGGAUGUGAAAUCCCUGAGCUUAACUUAGGAAUUGCAUUCGAUACUGGAAAGCUAGAGUAUGGGAGAGGAUGGUAGAAUUCCAGGUGUAGCGGUGAAAUGCGUAGAGAUCUGGAGGAAUACCGAUGGCGAAGGCAGCCAUCUGGCCUAAUACUGACACUGAGGUGCGAAAGCAUGGGGAGCAAACAGGAUUAGAUACCCUGGUAGUCC
This 451-nucleotide ribosomal RNA is filed under the name uncultured bacterium. Its description in RNAcentral is "partial 16S ribosomal RNA". It matches the Rfam family "Bacterial small subunit ribosomal RNA", at positions 354 to 796 of the family's 1533-position model. The record is from RNAcentral.